AUGGCCAGUCUUGUCCUGCUUGAAUCUUUCAGGGGCCCCCGACUCCUCUGCUGCAUGGCCCUCUGCCUUCUGGGGGCAGGUUCUGUGGCUGCUGGAGUCACCCAGUCCCCAAGACACAUAAUCAAAGUCCAAGGGGGGAAGGCUGUUCUGAAGUGCCACCCCAUCUCCGGACACAGCUAUGUGUACUGGUACCAGCAGGCUCUGGGACAUGGCCCCCAGUUCCUCAUUAGUUUUUAUGAAAAGCAGGAGGGACAGAAAGGAAACAUCCCAGAUCGGUUCUCAGGAAAACAGUUCAAUAACUACAGCUCUGAGCUGACCCUGAGUGCCUUGCAGCUGGGAGACUCAGCCAUGUAUCUCUGUGCCAGCAGCUUAGACACAGCCCUGCAGGGUCAAUGA
Molecule: non-coding RNA, 396 nt
Organism: Myotis brandtii (Brandt's bat)
Lineage: Eukaryota; Metazoa; Chordata; Mammalia; Chiroptera; Vespertilionidae
Source: the annotation of a RefSeq genome assembly